This 1029-nucleotide long non-coding RNA is filed under the name Anser brachyrhynchus (Pink-footed goose). RNAcentral's name for it is "lncRNA (ENSABRG00000000593.1)". Lineage: Eukaryota; Metazoa; Chordata; Aves; Anseriformes; Anatidae. The record is from RNAcentral.
CAUUUCUGCCAGCCCAAGUGCUUAAAGGGGAACAAGUGCUGCUAUCCCCCUAUGCUGGUAGAUCAAAGAGUUGUGCCGAAAGGGCAGUGACCAUGCAUGUCACACUUCCUGGGAAAUGCAGGGAAAGAAAUUACCUACAGUCAGUUUUUGAUGGACUUUCAGGCACCAGGGCAAAGGGUGGCAUGAAGGCAGUGCCAAAUCCCUGCCAGAGAUACUGGAGCGGUUGUUCAGUGGAACAGGAAGUGUUUCAGCAAGCAGUGGAACGAGUCAAGCCUGGUUUCCGAGGACCACGCAUUGUCCAGCCACCAGCACUCUGUGUCUAUAUGGUAUCAAUACCCAUUGGAUGUGCAUGGUGAGGCAGAUAAAGAAAAUGGAGGUUCACAGAAAACUGUUCACAUCCUGCAGCAAAAGAUAGAGACAGAUUCUACCCUGCAAGACUGGAGAGGUAUCUGCGUAAUUCAUCACCGAGUUGCAGUUGCAUCUGUAAACUGCUAAAUGUGCUUACCCAGUAGAGAACUUGAUCAAGACAUGGUGGUCUGUAGUGAAGGCUACAUGCUUACAGUGCAAGAACUAAGGCAUGUGGCCAGAAAAAAAAAAAAUGGGAUGACUGUUGCACUGCUAUGUUUCAUACUGUCUUGACACCAGAACAGCUUUUGAGCUUGGGUAACUUUGAGGAUGCUAUGCUCUAAGCUAGCAGCAAUUAUGUGGAGGCACAGGCAUGUCAGAAGAGCAGCUUCUGGUCUCUUGUGCCUCCAGUCCUGUGUUUGAUCACUAAAUGAGACCAUUUCUUUAAGGCAGACUAAGGGAACACUUUCACAUCAAGACAUGUAGUCUUCAAGAAUUUUCAAGCGACUGAUAACAAAAGAGGGGGACACAAUCCCCACCCCUCCAAGCCAGUUCUCUUUUUGAACUUCUGAAACUCUAAAUAUUCAUUACAAAGGCCUCUCAUAUAAUGUUUUCCUGUGGGAUGAAAGAUACUGCAUAAAUGAAAAUGUUGCUGUUUAAUAGAAAUCGGUUUCUUUGCAAAAG